RNAcentral lists this long non-coding RNA (296 nucleotides) under Monodelphis domestica (gray short-tailed opossum). RNAcentral describes it as "lncRNA (ENSMODG00000036808.1)". The record is from RNAcentral. Lineage: Eukaryota; Metazoa; Chordata; Mammalia; Didelphimorphia; Didelphidae.
AACAAAUGUCUGUAGAGAUUCAUCUGACUCCUAAUGAUAACAGGGAUGAUACAAAGAGAACUUCAGCUCAGCUAAAAAUGUUGAUCUUCACAGGCAAACUGCUCGAUAGAUGGUUUGUCCAGGAGAGUCUCAGAUCAACAGCUUCAGGCUUUACCUCCAGCUCCAGACUUUUGGAAACCUCCUCCUUCAACAGCAUAGAACUUUGACCCAACCAGCUUUUGGAGAAUUCUAGGCUGUCACUCAAACUCUUCCUACAAAGGUGAAAUACCUCAGAAAAUAUGAUAAAUAACGGAAUU